GUCAUCUACACCCUCAAGCUCUGCUUGGUGUUGGGUGCCUGUCCCGCCUCCGCGUGUGGACUCACCUCAAAUCUAUUGGCGGCCCCUGUGCCGGCCCCGAGCGCAGCAGAAACGCGGUUCGUGGCCUGGUGAAGGGUGCUCCCAGAAGCAACAUUUACCGUUUUGACCUCGAAUCAGGUAGGGAUACCCGCUGAACUUAA
RNAcentral lists this unclassified non-coding RNA (200 nucleotides) under soil metagenome. RNAcentral's name for it is "partial contains internal transcribed spacer 2 and large subunit ribosomal RNA". The record is from RNAcentral.